AAAAACAAACUGCAAAGUGGCAUUUAUUUACAUUAAAAUGUAAACCACCUGUGUGCACACAAAGUUAAGAGGCACAAUGUUACGCACAGCAACUAUGAUCUUCAGAACACGUCAUACACAAUAGUAUCUGCCGAUACAUCAGUGGUUCCCGUGAGAACAGUGGUACCGAAACAUUCCUGACACCAAACAUUCAUUCACAUAUUCUAAUCAUAGAAGACAGUUAAUAUUUUAAAAGUUAUGUACUUCAAAAAACACUAGCAAGAUGUACAACCAACCAAAAUAUAGU
This 286-nucleotide long non-coding RNA is filed under the name Bos taurus (domestic cattle). Its description in RNAcentral is "long non-coding RNA NONBTAT000177". Lineage: Eukaryota; Metazoa; Chordata; Mammalia; Artiodactyla; Bovidae. The record is from RNAcentral.